Molecule: ribosomal RNA, 253 nt
Filed under: uncultured bacterium
Lineage: Bacteria
Description: partial 16S ribosomal RNA
Rfam family: Bacterial small subunit ribosomal RNA
Source: RNAcentral
UACAGAGGUCUCAAGCGUUGUUCGGAUUCAUUGGGCGUAAAGGGUGCGUAGGUGGCGGGGUAAGUCAGGUGUGAAAUCUCGAGGCUCAACCUCGAAACUGCACUUGAUACUGCCUUGCUCGAGUACUGGAGAGGAGAUUGGAAUUUACGGUGUAGCAGUGAAAUGCGUAGAUAUCGAGAGGAACACCUGCGGCGAAGGCGGGUUGCUGGGCUGAUACUGACGCUGAGGCGCGAAAGCCAGGGGAGCGAACGGG